Molecule: ribosomal RNA, 493 nt
Filed under: uncultured bacterium
Lineage: Bacteria
Description: partial 16S ribosomal RNA
Rfam family: Bacterial small subunit ribosomal RNA
Source: RNAcentral
GACGAACGCUGGCGGCGUGCUUAACACAUGCAAGUCGAACGCUGAAGCCCUUUCGGGGGUGGAUGAGUGGCGAACGGGUGAGUAACACGUGGGUAAUCUGCCCUGUACUUCCGGAUAAGCCUUGGAAACGGGGUCUAAUACCGGAUAGGACCUGUCCUCGCAUGGGGGUGGGUGGAAAGUUCCGGCGGUAUGUGAUGGGCCCGCGGCCUAUCAGCUUGUUGGUGGGGUAGUGGCCUACCAAGGCGACGACGGGUAGCCGGCCCGAGAGGGUGACCGGUCACACUGGGACUGAGACACGGCCCAGGCUCCUACGGGAGGCAGCAGUGGGGAAUCUUGCGCAAUGGGCGAAAGCCUGACGCAGCAACGCCGCGUGGGGGAUGACGGCCUUCGGGUUGUAAACCUCUUUCGACAUCGACGAAGGGGCCCUGUUGUGGGGUUUUGACGGUAGGUGUAGAAGAAGCACCGGCUAACUACGUGCCAGCAGCCGCCGCAG